GGGAGCUCAGAUGGGUUCUGUUUUGUUUACAACACAGCUGUACUGGAGCCCUCUCUGGAUUGCCAGCAUGUGGAUCAUAAAAAAUCCACAGGGUUCGUCUAAGCUUAGUGGAAGACCACUCAGAUAUUACUGUGUUUUACCAACAGGACAUAUACUUAGAGUCUCCAGUUAUACAGUCUUCUGUAUCAAGCAUCUUCAUUUUUUGGGAAGAAUGCUGCAAAAAGCAAAUAGCUCCAUGAGCAGCACUGAGGAACAGACUGACAAAGUGUUUUCUGGGAAUGACUGUAUUUCCUUUGGAGGACUUUCUGGUUGGAAAUUGGAAGUCUGGAGAUUUUU
Long non-coding RNA from Cuculus canorus (common cuckoo), 336 nucleotides. RefSeq lists it as uncharacterized. NCBI's taxonomy places the organism in Eukaryota, Metazoa, Chordata, Aves, Cuculiformes, Cuculidae. The transcript has 3 exons. The record is from RefSeq and is a predicted model, not a curated record.